CUACGGGUGGCUGCAGUGGGGAAUUUUGGACAAUGGGCGAAAGCCUGAUCCAGCAAUGCCGCGUGUGCGAAGAAGGCCUUCGGGUUGUAAAGCACUUUUGUCAGGGAAGAAAUCGUUUGGGUUAAUACCCCGAGCAGUUGACGGUACCUGAAGAAUAAGCACCGGCUAACUACGUGCCAGCAGCCGCGGUAAUACGUAGGGUGCAAGCGUUAAUCGGAAUUACUGGGCGUAAAGCGUGCGCAGGUGGUUUGUUAAGACAGUUGUGAAAUCCCCGGGCUUAACCUGGGAACUGCAAUUGUGACUGGCAGACUAGAGUGAGGCAGAGGGGGGCGGAAUUCCUGGUGUAGCAGUGAAAUGCGUAGAUAUCAGGAGGAACACCGAUGGCGAAGGCAGCCCCCUGGGCCAUCACUGACACUCAUGCACGAAAGCGUGGGGAGCAAACAGGAUUAGAUACCCUAGUAGUC
RNAcentral lists this ribosomal RNA (464 nucleotides) under uncultured bacterium. RNAcentral describes it as "partial 16S ribosomal RNA". It matches the Rfam family "Bacterial small subunit ribosomal RNA", at positions 339 to 795 of the family's 1533-position model. The record is from RNAcentral.